GGGUGGGGGGCUUAAAGAGGCCCGACGCGGCCCCUAUGAGCGAGCCCCCUGCCGCGGGGUCAACA
RNAcentral lists this small nucleolar RNA (65 nucleotides) under Pyrobaculum calidifontis JCM 11548. Its description in RNAcentral is "Pyrobaculum sRNA 207". It matches the Rfam family "Pyrobaculum sRNA 207". From Rfam's summary of the family: Non canonical pseudouridylation guide sRNA features. Predicted to target 23S U2597 in Pyrobaculum. The record is from Rfam by way of RNAcentral. Lineage: Archaea; Thermoproteati; Thermoproteota; Thermoprotei; Thermoproteales; Thermoproteaceae.